RNAcentral lists this long non-coding RNA (576 nucleotides) under Salvia miltiorrhiza (redroot sage). RNAcentral's name for it is "long non-coding RNA (SMIL_LNC014411)". Lineage: Eukaryota; Viridiplantae; Streptophyta; Magnoliopsida; Lamiales; Lamiaceae. The record is from RNAcentral.
CCUUUAAUAUAGAACAAAUGAUACUAUUUUUCAAACUAAAUGAAACCUUUAAUAUUGAACAAAGAAAGAAACUACAAAAAAAAACUACAUACUUAAAAGAAAGAAACUACAAGUAUUAUUUUAAUAAAGAAAUUACAUAUUUAAAAUAAAGAAACUACAUACUUAAAAGAAAGAAACUACAAGUAUUAUUUUAAUAAAAAAAUUACAUAUUUAAAAGAAAAAAACUACAAAAAAAACUAUAUUUAAAAGAAAGAAACUACAAAAAAAGAAAGAAACUACAAAAAAAAAACAAAAACUACAAGUAUUACUUUAAUAAACUACAAAAAAAAAAACUACAAGUAUUAUUUUAAUAAAGAAAUUACAUACUUAAAAGAAAGAAACUACAUACUUAAAAGAAAGAAACUACAAGUAUUAUUUUGAAACUACAAACAAAAAGAAACUAUAUACUUAAAAGAAAGAAACUACAAGUAUUAAAAGAAAUAACAAAAUAAAUGAAACUAUAUACUUAAAAGAAAGAAACUACAAGUAUUAAAAGAAAUAACAAAAUAAAUGAAAUGAAGCCCAAAAUUUCGCUCC